CCACCCCCCCGUCCGUUUCACCACCAUGCAAAUGUCACUAAAAAGUUAAUUAGAUGAAUAAUCGCAUUUGCUCGGUGCCAGUAGGAAUGGAUUUUCUUUGGUGCUGUUAGUGCCCUUUCUCCGCCUGAAUGUCCCUCCCCCACCCUCACCUCCUGAUCUGCUUUACCGACUCACUUUUCCGCCUUUGGAAACGCUUAUCGAAAAUGGGAAAGCAGAAGAAAAAGUUUCCUGAGCAGAGCCGACAACUGCUCUUCCAAAUGCCUCUGCCAUCAGCUGAAACGGUGCUGAAACGGUGCUGAAACGGGGGGAAAGAAACCCGACCGAAGAAGAAAUCAGACCCAAACCAGGCAAAGAGGAGUCAAGACCACCCCGAGGUUUGCCGAACUGAACAAGUCAUGAAGGAACGAAUGCGAAAUAAAAAAGAUAACUGUGGCCGUGGUAA
Long non-coding RNA from Ornithorhynchus anatinus (platypus), 442 nucleotides. RefSeq lists it as uncharacterized. The record is from RefSeq and is a predicted model, not a curated record. The transcript has 2 exons. NCBI's taxonomy places the organism in Eukaryota, Metazoa, Chordata, Mammalia, Monotremata, Ornithorhynchidae.